GUGAGGAAUAUUGGUCAAUGGGCGAGAGCCUGAACCAGCCAAGUCGCGUGAAGGAAGACGGCCCUACGGGUUGUAAACUUCUUUUGCAAUGGAAUAAAAAGAGUUACGUGUAAUUCAUUGUAUGUACAUUGCGAAUAAGGAUCGGCUAACUCCGUGCCAGCAGCCGCGGUAAUACGGAGGAUCCGAGCGUUAUCCGGAUUUAUUGGGUUUAAAGGGUGCGUAGGCGGAUUGGAAAGUCAGCGGUGAAAGUUUGCAGCUUAACUGUAAAAUUGCCAUUGAAACUGUCAGUCUUGAGUGCAAAUGAGGUAGGCGGAAUGUGUUGUGUAGCGGUGAAAUGCAUAGAUAUAACACAGAACACCAAUUGCGAAGGCAGCUUACUGGGAUGCAACUGACGCUGAGGCACGAAAGCGUGGGGAUCAAACAGGAUUAGAAACCCCGGUAGUCC
This 445-nucleotide ribosomal RNA is filed under the name uncultured bacterium. Its description in RNAcentral is "partial 16S ribosomal RNA". It matches the Rfam family "Bacterial small subunit ribosomal RNA", at positions 354 to 796 of the family's 1533-position model. The record is from RNAcentral.